RNAcentral lists this ribosomal RNA (301 nucleotides) under uncultured bacterium. RNAcentral describes it as "partial 16S ribosomal RNA". It matches the Rfam family "Bacterial small subunit ribosomal RNA", at positions 509 to 807 of the family's 1533-position model. The record is from RNAcentral.
CAGUAGCCGCGGUAAUACGAAGGGUGCAAGCGUUAAUCGGAAUUACUGGGCGUAAAGCGCACGUAGGCGGAUAUUUAAGUCAGGGGUGAAAUCCCAGAGCUCAACUCUGGAACUGCCUUUGAUACUGGGUAUCUUGAGUAUGGAAGAGGUUAGUGGAAUUGCGAGUGUAGAGGUGAAAUUCGUAGAUAUUCGCAGGAACACCAGUGGCGAAGGCGGCUAACUGGUCCAUAACUGACGCUGAGGUGCGAAAGCGUGGGGAGCGAACAGGAUUAGAUACCCCGGUAGUCCCUGUCUCUUAUAC